Molecule: ribosomal RNA, 490 nt
Filed under: uncultured bacterium
Lineage: Bacteria
Description: partial 16S ribosomal RNA
Rfam family: Bacterial small subunit ribosomal RNA
Source: RNAcentral
GAUGAACGCUAGCGAUAGGCUUAACACAUGCAAGUCGAGGGGCAGCAUGGUCUUAGCUUGCUAAGACUGAUGGCGACCGGCGCGCGGGUGCGUAACGCGUAUGCAACUUGCCUCACAGAGGGGGAUAACCCGUCGAAAGACGGACUAAUACCGCGUACACUCCAUCUUGGGCAUCCAAGGUAGAGGAAAUGAAAUUCGCUGUGAGAUAGGCAUGCGUCCCAUUAGCUAGUUGGUGAGGUAACGGCUCACCAAGGCGACGAUGGGUAGGGGAACUGAGAGGUUGAACCCCCACACUGGUACUGAGACACGGACCAGACUACUACGGGAGGCAGCAGUGAGGAAUAGUGGUCAAUGGGCGAGAGCCUGAACCAGCCAAGUCGCGUGAAGGAUGACUGUCUUAUGGAUUGUAAACUUCUUUUAUACGGGAAUAACAAGAGUCACGUGUGACUCCCUGCAUGUACCGUAUGAAUAAGCAUCGGCUAACUCCGUG